Molecule: long non-coding RNA, 1128 nt
Organism: Cornus florida
Lineage: Eukaryota; Viridiplantae; Streptophyta; Magnoliopsida; Cornales; Cornaceae
Exons: 2
Source: RefSeq, a predicted model, not a curated record
UUGCAAGAAAGAGGUGUGGAAUAGAUUUUUGUUUCCAAUAACAACCACAAAUACUUACUGCAUUCAUCACCACACUUCAUUUACUCAAAUUUUACUUACCUUACAAAUAAUGAUAACACAGAAAAUGACACUAUUGAUGCUGAUUGAGAACAAAAUAAACAAUAAUAACCAAAAAAACAAAUGCUAAAUGCAACGAGUAAAAAAAGAAACUACGGAGAACAAUGUAUAGGUGGGCUAACAUAUAAGAGGGAGGCCCAAAAGAAGAGCAAUACAGUAACCAUGGGCAAGCCCAACAAAAAGAAAUGCCAUAACCCGAGAGAGGCUCAGACCAACAAAUAAAAAAGCUGUUCGAGAUGACCGUUACGUAAAAAUUAGGGCACUGGGGUACGUACAAUAAAGAGAUUUCGUCCAACGUUGAUAACCUGUUUUGCAGAGCUACCACUACCAGAGAUGAAGGAAUGGAUAGGGGAAAAGGACAAAAAGCUUUUUAGGGUUGGUCUUCACGGUUGAGGUCUAGCUGAGCAAAAGUGUCAAUCGACCUUAGUUCAACGGUUUGCCUUAGCAGAGCUGAAGGAAGGACCCAAUUUUCAUCUCUGAUGAAGUCACUGACUUUGGCAAAUUGAGCUACAGAGUGGGUAUGUAUGGAGAGAUUGUUAAUUCUGCAUGACAGAGGACUCAAUCGCAUCCAAUUGUAGCACAGGAACACAGUGGACUCCCCAUUGCCUAUAGGGUGUUUGAUGAAAUGCCUAGCAAUGGACUUAGCUGCAACAUUUUCCUCCAAGUCCAAGAUGAAUUUUGAGAUUGAGAGGAACUUGCGGAAGAUGUGGCAAACUUUGGGGAAUCGGUUACGUAACUAUGGCUCUAAUAAUGGAUUAGACUCUCGGAAACUGUGAAAUCAAAGGAUUACCUAUAUAAUAAGCACAAUUUUGGCCAGGAUAAUAUGAUGUGGAACAGAAUGGAGCAAACCAAUAUUCAAGCACUAGUUGGCUAGUUGCAACACUGAAGAGACAAGUGUGGCCUAGCGGUAUUAGCCUCUUACUUCCCAAAGAGAGGUUAGAGGUUCAAGUCUCAGAGAAGAUAAGUGUGUAUGAGUACCAUCUAGGAAAAAAAAAAAAUCCUCAAAGUGUA